This 69-nucleotide transfer RNA is filed under the name Wormaldia unispina. Its description in RNAcentral is "tRNA-Trp". Lineage: Eukaryota; Metazoa; Arthropoda; Insecta; Trichoptera; Philopotamidae. The record is from RNAcentral.
AAAGCUUUAAGUUAAUUAAACUAAUAAUCUUCAAAAUUAUCUAUAAAGAUUUAAUUUCUUUAAGUUUUA